This is a long non-coding RNA of Canis lupus familiaris (dog), 4033 nucleotides long. RefSeq lists it as uncharacterized. NCBI's taxonomy places the organism in Eukaryota, Metazoa, Chordata, Mammalia, Carnivora, Canidae. The record is from RefSeq and is a predicted model, not a curated record. The transcript is spliced from 8 exons.
GUCCCAUCAGACACUGAGCUCAUGCAUGUCUGAGGCAAACUCCAACGGGGGUUUCUUUUCUGUGAUGCGGAGUGCUAACUCCAGGGACUCCAGGGAAAGAAGAAGGUAUCUGCGUGUACUCAGAAUUGGUCUGGGUGCUCAGAGUCAGAAUCAGAGCUGGAACCAUCCUAAAACCAUCACUGAAGGUAAUGGUCUAAGGAUGUACCUGUUGGCCUAAGUGCUUCCUGGUCACAUUGCCUAGCAGCAUGGUGAGCAGCACACGCAAGACUGCAGGCUCCUGAGACAUCACUCUUUCACACAAAGACCCCAAGUGCAACUGGAGAGCCAGCAAACAGCCAUGGGUGAAUAAGCCAGCUCUGGGACAUAGAGAGAGAGAGAGAGAGAGAGAGGCAGAGGAGGAGGGAGAAGCAGGCUCCAUGCCGGGAGCCCGACGCGGGACUCCAUCCCGGGACUCCAGGAUCGCGCCCUGGGCCAAAGGCAGGAGCCAAACCGCUGAGCCACCCAGGGAUCCCCGGCUUCUCUGCUCUGAGUCCAACCCUCUGAAGAGUCCUGGAGCUGACAGUAUGAGACCGGAGCACAGGCGCGAAGGCCGCCUUUCCCACCCGUGGGCCUCCGCGGUGCAGGCUGCAGGACGCCAGCACCGGGGCUAGCGGUACGGGUCAGAGCUGCAGAUGCUGGCUGCUUGAAGUCAGUUUAUUUCUUUUUGAAAUCAAAACAAUUGGAAUCAAGCUGAGACAUCAGCUGAGUGCUAGCACUUUGACUCUCAUCUCUGGACACAUACAGAUCACCCAGGAAGGAAAUAUUAACCGGGAGUUUGUAACUGAGCCAAAGAGGUCCAUGGAUACCUGUGAUUAAAUAUAAUAUUGUGUACAUUCUUUAUCCAUGGAUCUCAGCAGACCCAUAAAAGGGACCGUAAUUCCCAAAUUGUUUAAGAACCAAGGUCCCAGCCCAAAUAAUGACUCCAGGCAGUGCCUGGACACCACCAGCUUCCCCUCCCCAGCAUCAGAGCCCAGCCCUGGCACCUCAGAAGAAUGUCAUUCAACAGCUGGCAGAGAAGUCAUACCUCUUAGCACUUUCCAAUUUGGAGCAGGUUGAGCAGUAGCUUGACAGGCCUGGAAACUGCAUGGUCUGGCUUUGGCUUGUCUCCACUGAUAAGCCCUGUGACAGCGUAUUUCUCAGAUGGUGGGGGCUGUUACAGCUCACGCUUCUGUACCUGGACAGGAUGAAGCUUUCUUUGUGAUCAGAUGUACUCUCAGCCACUUGUCAUCCUCCACACCCGUGAGCCGAUCGCCUGUCACUGAUACUGGGAAUUUUAAUGAAAAUAAAUGAAGUUCUUUGAGUUCCCUGGACAGCAUCCAUUUUAAGAGGAAGACAAAUACCAGCCCGGCCACUGUGGGCUGACUGGAGGGGUAGAUGGGGAAGCAAGCAACUAUUAAAUGUCCAUUUUGCUUCUUGAAGAUUUCAUUCUGAUAAUUGGAGAAGUUUGUGCCCCAGAGCCAGGAGGCAUGUUCUGUGUCAGCCGCGUGACUGACUUGUGCUCCUCAACUCUUUGGGCAGGUCUCUUCUAGAACUCCUUUCCUGCAUCACCGCCUCAUACCCAAAGCGUCCCCUCCCCUUUGAUCUACCUCCUGGGGUGGGUGAGCAGGAAAGCUCAAAUGGGAAGGCAAGGCCUGGAUUCCACGCUUGGCAGAGCCAGCCCGCAGCGGGGAGAAGCACUCACGCAGAAAGGCCAACCACAGCCCAGGAGAAACGACAAUGGAGACGACGCCUCCAACACCUUUGCUAUGGGAUGUUAAAUGUUUUCGGGAAAUACCUACUCCUGAGUUCAACAGCUCACAGCAGCCAGGAAAACAGCCGUUUCAGGGCUUUUGAAGGUCAACGUCAUGGCCCGGUACCAGGAACGGUAUGGCAAUCUUGCUUCUCGUGGGGAUAAACACAGACGAGUGAUUUUUCAGGGAACAAGGAUGAAGUCCUAUCGUUGAACCCCUUCAGUUCAGCCAACUGUCUCUGCCUCUCCUACUGUCUCAAAAUGUAACCGAAUUCUCUACUGGGUUGCUAAAUGAAGGCUUCUGAAAGUAACAGCCUGCCCAACACCAACACAGUUUCUGAUUACCCCCCAGAUACUGCUGAAGGAUCAAUUUGGUAUAUGAUGCUGUAGAAAUUUAUGAUAAAUGGAUUUGUUUCAAUCGGAAGUAAUUCUGUAUCGUGCAAAAUUCUGUAUUGUGUGAAAUUCAAAAAUCACAGAAUCGUUACCCAUGUAAUUAUCCUCAGAAAAGAACACUCUUUUUUUUAAAUUUUUUUUUUUAGAAAAGAACACUCUUAACAGAAGAACAUAACCAGGUCCUCUUCUUCCAAGUGGAAAGAACACUGCUGUUAAAAGGAAGGAUAUACAAGGUUUAAUUUGCCAAGACUGAGUCCCCUUAGAUUAAUGGUCUUUAUUUAGUUUUCCCAAAACAUACAUCAACUGCUUUAGUUUUAUGUAGAUUGUCAAGAAGUGUAUUUCAAACCUCUUUUGAACACUACUGAUUGGAAAGCAGGACACCACUGAAUAUCUUCUCGUGACUGUCUUGAAUUGACAUCCAAGUGCCUUCUGAGGAGAUGAGGUUUGCCUUGUGGUAGGCUCAGCAUAAGUAAUAAUCAGUCCCAUCACAACAGGACACUGCUCUCCAUCUCCGAGAGCAUGUCUGAGGAAAUGAUGGGGCACAUGUGGGAUUGUGCCCUGGGGGAGAGGAGUCUGAAUCUUCCCUUUGAAACUUGAACCCACAACACCAAUGUGCCCCAGCUGUGAGGCCGGAAACUGUGGCCUAGCAGCAGCUACACAUCUGAGUUCACAGACGCUCUAAGCUGUGAAACUCCGGUUGCUUCUGCCCAGACUCCCAAACAUAUGCUGUCUAGAGCACUGAGUACGGGUAGCCAGGGCCAAAUUGAGCAGAACUGAGUAUUUGUAUAUACAAAUGUAAAUAGAAGUGGCCCUGGGGCCUGGUUACCCUGUUCAUGAAUCUUUAAAGCAUCUCCCCAUUAUUGGCCAGAGAAUCUUCUAGAUGUCCAUCAUUAGAGAGCCAGCAUGUCUUGGUUACUAUCUAUUCACAUGCCCCAAAUUAAUCAAAGGUCUGGGUGGGAUCCAGGCUGAAGAUGCCUGUACUGCUUGUGAUUAUAAACAAGUGUGGUGCACACAUUUUAUUGCAGAAGCAAGACCUAGGACAUGCUAGAGCAGCUUAAAUAAAGACUUCUAAGUUCCUUAGAUUUGUUCAACUGGCUACAAAAAUAUUGUAAAUCAAUGGCACCUCAAUCUGAAUUGCCUAAAAUGGUCAUCUUAGCAUUAAUUUGAUGCGCUUGAAGUAAUAACCUAUGCAUUUGCUAAUUUUCUUUUACUCCUUUGAAUCAGUCAAAACAAGCCUCCCAUUUUGUCAUCCUGACUCUUACAACUGUUUUUUUGUCUUCACUCCAGGAAGGGAUUCCAUUAUUUGUUUAGGUGAGACUGUACAUUGGCUUUUCCGCACUCCCUCAUGUUGUAUUCAGAUCAAGCUGAUUCCUAGUUUGUAUUUCAUGUCCACACACCAGGGGCCUACCCGGUCCAUCCACCAGGAGUAGUUAUUCCCCUGUUCAUAAGCAUGGCUAGAAUGGGACCUAGAGAUCAUCUUGUGCAACAGCUUGGUUUUCAGUCGGGGAGGCUCAGGCUCAGAGAGGUGAAAUGACCCACACUUCCAGCACAGCUGGCUUUAGCCAGAGCCUGUUAGUGCUUGAACUUCAAACUCAACACUGAUUUCUUAAAAUGAGGGUUUGGAAUGAAAGGGUCCUCUGAUUCCUGCACUUCUUACAAACACACACAUUUGCUUAUUCUUGCCAAGUUAGUACUGUGUCUUGUGUCACUUCAAUGAUACGCGUGCGUGAGCCUGGCCUCCGGUACAGAUCCGAAAGGGCAGGGGACAGAUUAUCUGGUCAGUGAAGAAAACCAUUUGGUUUACUCAGCAAACGAAGGGAAAUCUGUACUGUUGUGACUCUCUUUAAAUAAAGGACCUAUGGUUAAUUAUUA